GAUGAACGCUGGCGGCGUGCCUAAUACAUGCAAGUCGAGCGAACAGAUGAGGAGCUUGCUCCUCUGACGUUAGCGGCGGACGGGUGAGUAGCACGUGGAUAACCUACCUAUAAGACUGGGAUAACUUCGGGAAACCGGAGCUAAUACCGGAUAAUAUAUUGAACCGCAUGGUUCAAUAGUGAAAGACGGUUUUGCUGUCACUUAUAGAUGGAUCCGCGCCGCAUUAGCUAGUUGGUAAGGUAACGGCUUACCAAGGCAACGAUGCGUAGCCGACCUGAGGGGGUGAUCGGCCACACUGGAACUGAGACACGGUCCAGACUCCUACGGGAGGCAGCAGUAGGGAAUCUUCCGCAAUGGGCGAAAGCCUGACGGAGCAACGCCGCGUGAGUGAUGAAGGUCUUCGGAUCGUAAAACUCUGUUAUUAGGGAAGAACAAAUGUGUAAGUAACUAUGCACGUCUUGACGGUACCUAAUCAGAAAGCCACGGCUAACUACGUG
RNAcentral lists this ribosomal RNA (497 nucleotides) under uncultured bacterium. RNAcentral's name for it is "partial 16S ribosomal RNA". It matches the Rfam family "Bacterial small subunit ribosomal RNA", at positions 28 to 507 of the family's 1533-position model. The record is from RNAcentral.